CCACAGAGGUAGAAACCGACAACAAGGAGCCACUAAGUGCAGUGAAACAACAAAAUUAUAUCAUCUGGCCGGAGACAUGGAUCUUGUGAGAGUGUCACCCGAUGGGCAGUUAACAACAAUGACGCGUGGAGUGCUGCUCAGUGAUGAGCUGAUAGACUGCAGCUGUGACAAGAAGCUGCCAGGGACUCUGAUUGCCUGCAGGAGCUCAUAGACACACAGAGAGGACGAGGAAGAUGAGUUCACACCAAGGAGGAAGGAAGACGAGCAAUAGAGGGAGAGAAGGACCUCCUGGCCUGCUGCAGACUGGCGACCUGUCCAGGUGUACCCUACCUUCGUCCAACUGGGACAGGCUCCGGCGACCCCGUGACCCUGAAAGGGAUCCAGCAGAGCAUACCUAUGUGAAGAAAUGUUCCAAGCAACAUGGAUCACCCUUCCCUGUUUAAAAAAAAAAGCAAUCUUGGACACCAAUAAAGCUCCAGAUCCCCUUCAAUUGGAGGUCUAAGGAGAGGCAGGAGGGAAGAAUUCGCAUUUGGCCAUAUACUUUCCUCAAAAACAAGACUCUUCAUAAGAAAAAAACUGGUUCCACAGACAGCCAGAUGCUCCACUGCUAUGGUUUAUCUCAGCCAGACUGAGUCCCAUCAUCCUCCCUUAAUACCGUCACCGUUCUGGCAGCUCUGAUGGAUCACUGGCAGACUGUCGACAAACAUGAAAGUGAGACAAAUCUAGCCCAUACCUAGAGGGUGUCCAAAGAAUUUCAUACCUGGAAGGUGUGUUUGUGAUUUCACAUCAGUUCAUUUUAGUUUGCUUUCACUUCUCCCAGCUUUCUGUGAGCUGGUCUGAGAUAUGUGUAUCCAUGUCCUGAGCGGUUCUGCCCCGGCAACACAUUAGGGAGGGGCUUUGUGAGCUGGGACACUGAAUCCGUAUGCUUUUUGAAGAUAUUGUCACUGUAUCCUUGAGGUCACAAUAAAUCCACUUUAAUGAUGGGACGUCAAAUUGAUUGCCCCUGAUCUCCCACUCAC
Long non-coding RNA from Oryzias melastigma (Indian medaka), 1019 nucleotides. RefSeq lists it as uncharacterized. The record is from RefSeq and is a predicted model, not a curated record. The transcript is spliced from 4 exons. NCBI's taxonomy places the organism in Eukaryota, Metazoa, Chordata, Actinopteri, Beloniformes, Adrianichthyidae.